Molecule: ribosomal RNA, 467 nt
Filed under: uncultured bacterium
Lineage: Bacteria
Description: bacterial SSU rRNA
Rfam family: Bacterial small subunit ribosomal RNA
Source: RNAcentral
UGGCCAGACUCCUACGGGAGGCAGCAGUGAGGAAUAUUGGUCAAUGGGCUAAGGCCUGAACCAGCCAAGUCGCGUGAGGGAAGACGGUCCUAUGGAUUGUAAACCUCUUUUGUCGGGGAGCAACGAGGCCACGUGUGGCCGAAGUGAGAGUACCCGAAGAAAAAGCAUCGGCUAACUCCGUGCCAGCAGCCGCGGUAAUACGGAGGAUGCGAGCGUUAUCCGGAUUUAUUGGGUUUAAAGGGUGCGUAGGCGGAACAUUAAGUCAGCGGUAAAAUCGAGGGGCUCAACCCCUUUAAGCCGUUGAAACUGGCAGUCUCGAGUUGGAGAGAAGUAUGCGGAAUGCGCGGUGUAGCGGUGAAAUGCAUAGAUAUCGCGCAGAACUCCGAUUGCGAAGGCAGCAUGCCGGCUCCACACUGACGCUGAGGCACGAAAGCGUGGGUAUCGAACAGGAUUAGAUACCCCGGUAC